RNAcentral lists this ribosomal RNA (800 nucleotides) under uncultured Bacillota bacterium. RNAcentral describes it as "bacterial SSU rRNA". It matches the Rfam family "Bacterial small subunit ribosomal RNA", at positions 79 to 891 of the family's 1533-position model. Lineage: Bacteria; Bacillati; Bacillota. The record is from RNAcentral.
AAUGCGGGAUGAUGUCGAGUGGCGGACGGGUGAGUAACGCGUAAAUCAUCUACCUUUCGGACGGGGACAACCCAGGGAAACUUGGGCUAAUACCCGAUAAGAACACAGUGACCCAUGUUAUUGUGCGGAAAACACUUAGAUGGCCGAUUGAUGAGUUUGCGUCUGAUUAGCUAGUUGGUGGGGUAAUGGCCUACCAAGGCGAUGAUCAGUAGCUGGUCUGAGAGGAUGAACAGCCACACUGGAACUGAGACACGGUCCAGACUCCUACGGGAGGCAGCAGUGAGGAAUUUUGCUCAAUGGGCGAAAGCCUGAAGCAGCGACGCCGCGUGAAUGAUGAAGUUCUUCGGAAUGUAAAGUUCUUUUGGCAGGGAAAAUGAUGAUUGUACCUGCAGAAUAAGCACCGGCAAACUAUGUGCCAGCAGCCGCGGUAAUACAUAGGGUGCAAGCGUUGUCCGGAAUUACUGGGCGUAAAGAGCGUGUAGGCGGCUUUUUAAGUCGUAACUUUAAAGCCUGGAGCUUAACUCCAGUUCGGGUUCGAUACUGAUAAGCUAGAGAUUGGGAGAGGAAAGCGGAACUCACAGUGUAGCGGUGAAAUGCGUAGAUAUUGUGAGGAACACCCGUGGCGAAGGCGGCUUUCUGGACCAUUUCUGACGCUGAGACGCGAAAGCGUGGGGAUCAAACAGGAUUAGAUACCCUGGUAGUCCACGCUGUAAACGAUGUACAUUAGGUAUUGGGGGUAUCGACCCCUCCAGUGCCGAAGCUAACGCGUUAAAUGUACCGCCUGGGGAGUACGGUCGCAA